RNAcentral lists this ribosomal RNA (237 nucleotides) under Escherichia coli. Its description in RNAcentral is "partial 23S ribosomal RNA". It matches the Rfam family "Bacterial large subunit ribosomal RNA", at positions 132 to 362 of the family's 2925-position model. Lineage: Bacteria; Pseudomonadati; Pseudomonadota; Gammaproteobacteria; Enterobacterales; Enterobacteriaceae. The record is from RNAcentral.
UAUCUUUAGUCGGAUAGUAUCCUUACGUGAAUACAUAGCGUGAGGAAGGCAGACCCAGGGAACUGAAACAUCUAAGUACCUGGAGGAAGAGAAAGAAAAAUCGAUUUCCUGAGUAGCGGCGAGCGAAACGGAAAGAGCCCAAACCAAGAAGCUUGCUUCUUGGGGUUGUAGGACACUCUAUACGGAGUUACAAAAGAAAGUUAUAAAUGAAGCGGUCUGGAAAGGCCCGCCAAAGAC